RNAcentral lists this transfer RNA (77 nucleotides) under Muiribacterium halophilum (SeqCode). RNAcentral describes it as "bacterium BM706 tRNA-Arg". It matches the Rfam family "tRNA". Rfam says of the family: Transfer RNA (tRNA) molecules are approximately 80 nucleotides in length. Their secondary structure includes four short double-helical elements and three loops (D, anti-codon, and T loops). Lineage: Bacteria; Candidatus Muiribacteriota; Muiribacteriia (SeqCode); Muiribacteriaceae (SeqCode). The record is from RNAcentral.
GCGCUUGUAGCUCAGUUGGAUAGAGCAUCGGAUUUCUAAUCAGAGGGUCACAGGUUCAAAUCCUGUCAGGCGUACCA